AGUUCAGAAGCGAUAAACGCGCUAAGUUUCGGCCUUAGAAUAGAGGAUUCCCUCCUGAAUUU
This 62-nucleotide transfer RNA is filed under the name Plakobranchus ocellatus. Its description in RNAcentral is "tRNA-Arg". The record is from RNAcentral. Lineage: Eukaryota; Metazoa; Mollusca; Gastropoda; Plakobranchidae.